GGGGUUUUUUUGCCACUAAGGCCCGAAAGCGGGGGGGGGGAACCCGGAUUGGUUACCCCGGGGUGUUCCCCGCCGUAAACAAUGGAUAUUAGCUGUGGGAGGGAUUGGACCCCCUCUGUGGGAAAGAUAACGGCGUUAAGUUAUUCCCCCCUGUGGAGUACGGCCGCAAGGCUAUAACAUAAAAGGAAUUGGACGGGGACCCGCACAAGCGGUGGAUUAUGUUCUUUAAUUGGAUGAUAAACGAUAAACCUUAUCAGGGCUUGACAUCCAGGGAAGCACUACGAAAGUAGAGUGUGCCUUUUGGAACCCUGUGACAGGUGAUGCAUGGCCGUCGUCAGCUCGUGUCGUGAGAUGUUAGGUUAAGUCCUUCAACGAGCGCAACCCUUGUGAAUAGUUGUAUUUUUCUAUUCAGACUGCCCCGGUAACGGGGAGGAAGGAGGGGAUGAUGUCAGGUCAGUAUUUCCCUUACGUCCUGGGCUAGAAACGUAAUACAAUGGCUAGUACAAUGCGCAGCGAAGCCGCGAGGUGAAGCAAAUCGCAUCAAAGCUAGUCCCAGUUCGGAUUGGAGGCUGAAACUCGCCUCCAUGAAGUCGGAAUCGCUAGUAAUCGCAGAUCAGCAAGUUGCGGUGAAUACGUUCCCGGGUCUUGCACUCACCGCCCGUCAA
This 665-nucleotide ribosomal RNA is filed under the name uncultured bacterium. RNAcentral's name for it is "bacterial SSU rRNA". It matches the Rfam family "Bacterial small subunit ribosomal RNA", at positions 731 to 1400 of the family's 1533-position model. The record is from RNAcentral.